UACAGAGGGUGCGAGCGUUGUUCGGAAUUAUUGGGCGUAAAGGGCGCGUAGGCGGUGCGGUAAGUCACCUGUGAAAUCCCCGGGCUUAACCUGGGAACUGCAUUUGUGACUGCACGGCUGGAGUGCGGCAGAGGGGGAUGGAAUUCCGCGUGUAGCAGUGAAAUGCGUAGAUAUGUGGAGGAACACCGAUGGCGAAGGCAGCCCCCUGGGUCAACACUGACGCUCAUGCACGAAAGCGUGGGGAGCAAACAGG
RNAcentral lists this ribosomal RNA (253 nucleotides) under uncultured bacterium. Its description in RNAcentral is "partial 16S ribosomal RNA". It matches the Rfam family "Bacterial small subunit ribosomal RNA", at positions 524 to 776 of the family's 1533-position model. The record is from RNAcentral.